UUGCUCUCUUCAGCAGCACAUUUACUAAAAUUGGAACGAUACAGAGAAGAUUGGCAUGGCACCUGCUCAAAGAUGACAGACAAAUUUGUGAAGCAUUCCAUAUUUUU
Non-coding RNA from Erinaceus europaeus (western European hedgehog), 107 nucleotides. NCBI's taxonomy places the organism in Eukaryota, Metazoa, Chordata, Mammalia, Eulipotyphla, Erinaceidae. The record is from Rfam.